Molecule: ribosomal RNA, 301 nt
Filed under: uncultured bacterium
Lineage: Bacteria
Description: partial 16S ribosomal RNA
Rfam family: Bacterial small subunit ribosomal RNA
Source: RNAcentral
CAGCCGCCGCGGUAAUACGAAGGGGGCUAGCGUUGCUCGGAAUGACUGGGCGUAAAGGGCGCGUAGGCGGCGGCCAAAGUCAGGCGUGAAAUUCCCGGGCUCAACCUGGGGGCUGCGUUUGAUACUUGGUUGCUUGAGUGGGGAAGAGGGUCGUGGAAUUCCCAGUGUAGAGGUGAAAUUCGUAGAUAUUCGGAAGAACACCAGUGGCGAAGGCGGCUCACUGGCUCAUUCUAGACGCUGAGGUGCGAAAGCGUGGGGAGCAAACAGGAUUAGAUACCCCGGUAGUCCCUGUCUCUUAUAC